UGAAAAUGAAGGGACCUAUCCUGAGGAUUCUGGAGCUGAAGAAAAGGCAGUGAACAAAGGAAUACAGUUUGAAGUAAAAGAUGGCUUUGAUGAAGUAGGGUUAUUAAAAGAGGAAACUGAUCUGCCAAAUCAAGACCUUGGUAAUGAAGGGACUUACUCAAAGGGUUCCAAAGCUGAGGAGUGAAUGACUGAAAGAAAUGUUUGAUGAACAAAUUGACUGUUUUUGAGUUCUCAAAUCUAUAAAAGAAACGACUUCAAGAUUAAAAUCAAAACAAAUAUAAAAAAGUGAAAGUUGUGAUUUAUUUGCUUCUUGUGUAAUAAAAGACUUUCCACUAUAAGUAUUAUUUUAGAU
RNAcentral lists this long non-coding RNA (352 nucleotides) under Monodelphis domestica (gray short-tailed opossum). RNAcentral describes it as "lncRNA (ENSMODG00000034289.2)". Lineage: Eukaryota; Metazoa; Chordata; Mammalia; Didelphimorphia; Didelphidae. The record is from RNAcentral.